RNAcentral lists this unclassified non-coding RNA (405 nucleotides) under soil metagenome. RNAcentral describes it as "partial contains 5.8S ribosomal RNA, internal transcribed spacer 2, and large subunit ribosomal RNA". The stretch from base 1 to 121 matches the Rfam family "5.8S ribosomal RNA", at positions 35 to 154 of the family's 154-position model. The record is from RNAcentral.
GAUGAAGAACGUAGCGAAAUGCGAUAAGUAGUGUGAAUUGCAGAAUUCAGUGAAUCAUCGAAUCUUUGAACGCACCUUGCGCCCUUUGGCUAUUCCGAAGGGCAUGCCUGUUUGAGUAUCAUGAACAUCUCAACUCCUCGCGGUUUGCCCGUGACGAGCUUGGACUUUGGGGGUCUUGCCGGCCUGUGGGUCGGCUCCUCUCAAAUGAAUCAGCUUGCCGGUGUUUGGUGGCGUCACAGGUGUGAUAACUAUCUACGCUUGUGGUUUUCCGCCAGGUAACCUCCAGCAAUGGGGGUUCACUGGAGCUCACAAAUGUCUUUCCUCGGUGAGGACAGCUUUUUGAACGUUUGAUCUCAAAUCAGGUAGGACUACCCGCUGAACUUAAGCAUAUCAAUAAGCGGAGGA